This 482-nucleotide ribosomal RNA is filed under the name uncultured bacterium. Its description in RNAcentral is "partial 16S ribosomal RNA". It matches the Rfam family "Bacterial small subunit ribosomal RNA", at positions 30 to 507 of the family's 1533-position model. The record is from RNAcentral.
AUUGAACGCUGGCGGCAUGCUUUACACAUGCAAGUCGAACGGUAACAGGCCGCAAGGUGCUGACGAGUGGCGAACGGGUGAGUAAUGCAUCGGAACGUGCCCAGUCGUGGGGGAUAACUACUCGAAAGAGUAGCUAAUACCGCAUACGAUCUAUGGAUGAAAGCGGGGGACCGUAAGGCCUCGCGCGAUUGGAGCGGCCGAUGUCAGAUUAGGUAGUUGGUGGGGUAAAGGCUCACCAAGCCAACGAUCUGUAGCUGGUCUGAGAGGACGACCAGCCACACUGGGACUGAGACACGGCCCAGACUCCUACGGGAGGCAGCAGUGGGGAAUUUUGGUCAAUGGGCGCAAGCCUGAUCCAGCAAUGCCGCGUGCAGGAAGAAGGCCUUCGGGUUGUAAACUGCUUUUGUACGGAACGAAACGGCUCUGGUUAAUACCCGGGGCUAAUGACGGUACCGUAAGAAUAAGCACCGGCUAACUACGUG